This is a long non-coding RNA of Haemorhous mexicanus (house finch), 882 nucleotides long. RefSeq lists it as uncharacterized. The record is from RefSeq and is a predicted model, not a curated record. The transcript is spliced from 2 exons. Lineage: Eukaryota; Metazoa; Chordata; Aves; Passeriformes; Fringillidae.
GCGGCCGCUCUCGGCGGCGACAGCCCCGCCGGCGGCCCGGGAAGUGCGGGGGGCUAGCGGCUCCGCGGCCGGCCCGGCCCGGCUUGCUAUCGGUGUUGAACUCUUGUGCGGUCCCAGGGGAGUCCCCCUUCUGGGACACAAUUAUAGAAUGGUUUGAAUUGGAAGGGCGCUUAAAGACCAUCUCAUCCCACCCUCCUGCCAUGGUCAGGGACACUUUCCACCAGAGCAGGUUCCUUCAAGCUCCAUCCAGCCUGGCCUUAGACACUUCGGGGGAUGGGGCAGCCACAGCUUCUCUGGGCAACCUCUGUCAGGGCCUCACCACUCUCACAGGGAGAAAUUUGUUCCUAAUAUCUAAUCUAACCGUGCUUCCUAGUGGUAAGCAACUCUUCUGGAUCCUGUAACUACAUGCUGUCGUAAGUAAAUUGUCCCCGUAAGUUCCCUUCAGGUACUUGAAAGGCCACACUGCCUUCUCUUCACCACUCUUUUCCAGGCUGAACGAUCCCAACUCUGUCAGCCUUUUAUCACAGCAGAAGUGUUCCAUCCCCCCGAUCAUCCUGAUGCCUUGUCUGGAUACUCCAACAGGUCCGUGUUCCUCCUCUGCUGGGACCCCAGAGCUGGAGGCAGAAAGCAUCCAGCAGGCAGCAAAAUGUGUCAAAAGCCUCAUCCCCAACUGAAGGACAACGGAAUCAACCUAUAAAUCAUGGUGCUCUUCAGCAAAAAUGAAUUAAGCUUGCCUUCAGAUUUUGUACCCUGGUCUUGCCAAGUGUGGUAGAUGUGUUUGCUUGGUGGUUUGGUGUGGUUAAACAAAUAUUUAAAAAGUAAAUAUCUAUGCUUAAUUAAGUAUCACUAUUGUUUAUGUUUAAAUAAAAUAUGUUUAAAUUA